RNAcentral lists this ribosomal RNA (376 nucleotides) under uncultured bacterium. RNAcentral describes it as "partial 16S ribosomal RNA". It matches the Rfam family "Bacterial small subunit ribosomal RNA", at positions 338 to 729 of the family's 1533-position model. The record is from RNAcentral.
CCUACGGGGGGCAGCAGUAGGGAAUCUUUCACAAUGGGCGAAAGCCUGAUGGAGCAACGCCGCGUGCAGGAUGAAGGCCCUCGGGUUGUAAACUGCCUUUAUAAGCGAGAAAUAUGAUGGUAACUUAUGAAUAAGGAUCGGCCAACUACGUGCCAGCAGCCGCGGUCAUACGUAGGAUCCGAGCAUUAUCCGGAGUGACUGGGUGUAAAGAGUUGCGUAGGUGGCAUAAUAAGUAGCUAGUGAAAUCUGGUGGCUCAACCAUUCAGACUAUUAGCUAAACUGUUAAGCUCGAGACCGUUAGGGGUAACUGGAAUGUCUAGUGUAGGAGUGAAAUCCGUAGAUAUUAGAAAGAACACCGAUAGCGUAGGCAGGUUAC